UUCCCCAGUCGAGUAAGAUUCGUAUUCCCUUUGCGAAAUCGAAUGUACAUCCUAUAAACAAGUCUGCUUUUCCAGCUUUCUUCAGGAUGAUGAGUGUUUUGGCAUAAAACCAAUUCACGCCUUGGUCGGUCACCUAUUAUAUACCCAGUAACCGGUAUCCCUGGUGUUCCUUCGUUUCUGCUCCCUAUUAUGACCUUGGUCCCCUGUGGAGUCAGAUUUACCUGAGUUGAAAUAUACCUUUUUCAGGUCUUCCUCAGAUGAUUUGGUUGAUU
RNAcentral lists this long non-coding RNA (272 nucleotides) under Lathyrus oleraceus (garden pea). RNAcentral's name for it is "Pisum sativum (pea) long non-coding RNA (PSAT_LNC012491)". The record is from RNAcentral. Lineage: Eukaryota; Viridiplantae; Streptophyta; Magnoliopsida; Fabales; Fabaceae.